This 465-nucleotide ribosomal RNA is filed under the name uncultured bacterium. Its description in RNAcentral is "bacterial SSU rRNA". It matches the Rfam family "Bacterial small subunit ribosomal RNA", at positions 335 to 792 of the family's 1533-position model. The record is from RNAcentral.
ACUCCUACGGGAGGCAGCAGUGGGGAAUAUUGCACAAUGGGCGCAAGCCUGAUGCAGCCAUGCCGCGUGUAUGAAGAAGGCCUUCGGGUUGUAAAGUACUUUCAGCAGUGAGGAAGGCGGAGUCGUUAAUAGCGGCCUCGUUUGACGUUAGCUGCAGAAGAAGCACCGGCUAACUCCGUGCCAGCAGCCGCGGUAAUACGGAGGGUGCGAGCGUUAAUCGGAAUUACUGGGCGUAAAGCGCAUGCAGGUGGUUUGUUAAGUCAGAUGUGAAAGCCCGGGGCUCAACCUCGGAAUUGCAUUUGAAACUGGCAGACUAGAGUACUGUAGAGGGGGGUAGAAUUUCAGGUGUAGCGGUGAAAUGCGUAGAGAUCUGAAGGAAUACCGGUGGCGAAGGCGGCCCCCUGGACAGAUACUGACACUCAGAUGCGAAAGCGUGGGGAGCAAACAGGAUUAGAUACCCUGGUA